AGCAGCCGCGGUAAUUCCAGCUCCAAUAGCGUAUAUUAAAGUUGCUGCAGUUAAAAAGCUCGUAGUUGAAUUUCGGGACUAAUAUGUCGGUCGUGCCUCGGUACGUACUGGCUUAUUGGUUUCUCCUUUCUGAAGAACCAUGAUGUCAUUUAUUUGGUGUCGUGGGGAAUCAGGACUGUUACUUUGAAAAAAUUAGAGUGUUUAAAGCAGGCUCACGCUUGAAUACAUUAGCAUGGAAUAAUGAAAUAGGACGUUUGAUUCUAUUUUGUUGGUUUCUAGGAUCGACGUAAUGAUUAAUAGGGAUAGUUGGGGGCAUUAGUAUUCAAUUGUCAGAGGUGAAAUUCUUGGAUUUAUUGAAGACUAACUACUGCGAAAGCAUUUGCCAAGGAUGUUUUCAUUAAUCAAGAACGAAAGUUAGGGGAUCGAAGACGAUCAGAUACCGUCGUAGUCUUAACCAUAAACUAUGCCGACUAGGGAUCGGAUGAUGUUAAUUUUUUAAUGACUCAUUCGGCGCCUUAAC
Molecule: small RNA, 520 nt
Filed under: uncultured Glomus
Lineage: Eukaryota; Fungi; Glomeromycota; Glomeromycetes; Glomerales; Glomeraceae
Description: SSU rRNA
Rfam family: Eukaryotic small subunit ribosomal RNA
Source: RNAcentral